UUUAGUUUUUUGACGUCUUUUUAAAAAAAAUUUUGCGAUUAAUAUUUUAUUUUUACUAGCUGAUAAAACAUGAAUAAUACUUUAUGCGUGACUAAUUUUUUUAAGUUUUUGUACAAAUUUUUCAAAUAAGACGAAUGGUCAAACGUUGGACACGGAAA
RNAcentral lists this microRNA precursor (158 nucleotides) under Oryza brachyantha (malo sina). Its description in RNAcentral is "MIR812 microRNA precursor family". It matches the Rfam family "MIR812 microRNA precursor family", at positions 27 to 187 of the family's 205-position model. The record is from Rfam by way of RNAcentral. Lineage: Eukaryota; Viridiplantae; Streptophyta; Magnoliopsida; Poales; Poaceae.